GUGAGAAUGAGCAACCCCAGACCAUCCAGGCAGCCCUGAGUCAGCAUCCAGCCCUGCCUCUGCAUGCAGAGAAGUGGUUUUCUCAAGGUGAGCCAGGCCAGAGACACCGGCCCCAGGCCAGAGGCUUACCUGUAUUUUGGGAGGCUGACGCAGCUGCCUGGGGAACGCGGCCGACGAGGAGGACGUGACUGAGCACGCGGGCAAGUGGGUGCAAGGUGGCAAAGCUGUCGGAGAAGCUAGGGAGACACCUGUCGGGCUGGGCCACCUGGCAGAACAGCGCUCUGCAGCAGCAUCCUACAGAGAAGCCCCCAGAUGCCGCCAGCAGAGCCG
Molecule: long non-coding RNA, 330 nt
Organism: Pan paniscus (pygmy chimpanzee)
Lineage: Eukaryota; Metazoa; Chordata; Mammalia; Primates; Hominidae
Source: Ensembl